This 98-nucleotide small RNA is filed under the name Arabidopsis thaliana (thale cress). Its description in RNAcentral is "ATSL221580". The record is from RNAcentral. Lineage: Eukaryota; Viridiplantae; Streptophyta; Magnoliopsida; Brassicales; Brassicaceae.
UUUUAAUUCCUUUCUCUUUAGCUCAAGCUCCCAUGAUGGCUCCUUCUGGCUCAAUGUCCAUGCCGCCUAUGUCUAGCGGCGGUGGAAGCUCGGUUCCU